Molecule: long non-coding RNA, 2565 nt
Organism: Fukomys damarensis (Damara mole-rat)
Lineage: Eukaryota; Metazoa; Chordata; Mammalia; Rodentia; Bathyergidae
Exons: 6
Source: RefSeq, a predicted model, not a curated record
AGGCGCGCAUGCUCAGGGAAGGGCUCUGCAAGGUGAUUGGACGCUGCUUCUGCGCUCGCAGCCCAAUGGCUGACAGUAGGUGGGGCCUGGAAGGCUGAAGUGGAUUCUGGUCACCACCGGAAGAGUGAUUCUUGUCACAGUCCCUUGGUCUCCCGCUCUCUGCUUCGGUGGCCAUGUAAAGAACAGCUCUCUCUUCCUGUCUCCUCUGCACACUCGCUCCGCCAGGUGCUCCGCCAUGUGCUUCACCUCUCCACAGCCCGGAGACAGUGGAGCUGCUGGACCCUGCACUGAAGCCUCCGAAACGUGCAUCCCGUGAAGAAACAGACUCCUAGAGAUUAACAUCCUACCUGAGGUCAUUUAUGAAGACUGGAUGCUCAGGGGGCUGCUAGACGGAGAAGGAAAGAAGGCAGAAACCAUCGGCAGCAGGGGCCUCUGCUUGUCCAUUGCAUAUUGGAUGACAGACUAUUAAUGGUGAUGCGAACUAGUAAACACAGAUGAACUUUGGAUCAAGUGUGAUAUGCAAAAUUCCAAGGACUGUUUGAUACAUUCUGCAAGUUGCCCCCCAAAGAACGUUACAGUGUGACACUCCUUCCUCUAGUGCCUUGAGGCAGAGUAUGCACACUGAAGGCGGACACAGUCCAGGGAGCCCUCCUGGCUUCCCCAGCAGUGAGCUUUGGAAUCUGCCGUUGAUUUCCUGUCUUCAAGAGGAAGUUCCGUCUCUUCUGUACCUGCUGACGGCUAACGGGCCCGGCGGCGAGCCCCGCCUGAGCACCCAGAAUUACACGUGAAGUCGGAGUGCAAUGCGACUCACGUCCUCCCUCCACAGAAAGAAGUUAGGGAGGCCAGCAGGUUCGAAUUCUCAAAGGAGACGGCUGCUCUGCAUGGCUCUUCCCCAGAAGCUCCUCUCUCUGAAUCUCAGUUGUUGGUAACUAGCAGGUUUUCUCUCCAGGAACCAAGAUAAUUUUUUCCUCGCUUCUGGCCCACCAACUCGUCAGCUGUCUCAGCUGAGGCGGCGCUGCCAGACUGAGUAACUGGAGAAUCUACUCGACUAUUUAUUUUAGAGUAUGAUAAUUUGAGGGAAAAUGAAAAUUGUCAGUUUUCCAUUACACCCUAAAGCUCUCAGACCCGGUUAUCUUAUCAGACCUAAAAAAGCACGCUACUACAGAAAGCGGUGUAAACAGGUGGGGAUACCAGGGAGGAGGGGAGAUGUCCGCUGCGGGCAAGCGCUGUGCUCAGGGCAGGGCGACCCCAGGCCUCCUUGUGCGGCCCUAGGAUGUGGUGACCUGUGGAUGUGGCCAGUCCCACGUGAACCCCGGGCAGAGGUCUGUGCUCCAGGGGCCAGAACUGCGAGUUUUAAAAGUCCUGUACUGGCCUGCUGCGAGAUGUGCCUCGGGGUGGAGAUCCUGGGGCUGGAGACCCCGGGCAAGCACAUGCUCAGUUCAUCUCUGCACACUCAGCCCCAAGCCGGUGCCUGGCGAUCACUAAGAUCCAGCCCAUGCUUAUUUUAACACAUUCUCAGAAAAGUCACACCCUUUAGAAAUCCUGCUAGGUAAUCUCUUUUCUCUGCUUGCAGUGUUCCAGGGUUUCUCGUUUCUUCCUGAACAGGUCAGGCAGAUGGGGCUUACUGUCUCCAUGGACAAGUGUCCCGCUCUCCCCGCUGUCCUCACACCCGGCCCUGCCAGCUCUGCCCUUCCCACGGGAGAUGGGCCACCGCUUGUUCCUCAUGCCUGGCUCCACACUUUCCAAAGUGAUCCUCCUGCCUCAGCCCCCUGAGUGCUGGGAUUACAGGUGUGCAGCACCACGUCCGGCUGAUGUCCCUUUUCAUUAAGUCACAUUUCCACCCCUUUAUAGCCCUGUUCCAUCCUUGGCCCUCACAUUACUCUUCUUAUCUUUUAUCCUGGACUUUCCCAACACUUGUUGCCUUCUAAUGUCUUACUCUGUGAUUUAACUGUUUCGUACUUGUUUGUUGUCUGUGUCCCCCUGGCUGGCACACAAACCUGCGAGGGUGAGGAUUUUUAUUGCUUUUGCUCAUUGAUAUUCCUAGUUUCAGCCAGUGUCUGACACAUAGAGGGUGCUCUGUGAAUAACUGUUGAAUGAACAAAUGAAUAGAGCCGGAUCUGUGAAGCAAGUGAGCAGAUAAAUCUGAGAGUAAAAGAGUAAAGCGAGGUGCAGAGGCGAAUGGAACAUCGGUUGUGAUAAGCUCGUGGAGGUGAACCUUGCUUUUCAUUCGCGGAAGCCCUUGCAGUUCGCGAUGAGCUCGGUCCACUUCCAGAGUCAAAGCUGCAGACUUCCAGCUUCUUUGGUGUCAAGCUUCCUCGAGUUAACAGUGUGUCGCUCGCUCCCUGAGGGAUUCAGGUGAAGGACGCAUGUGCGGAGUCUUUCAUCUGGGCCGGAGGCCCCUGCAUUAGGAGCGCUCCUGCGGAGCCCACCCGGGUUAUGGAGUGAGCGAUCGCUGAGGACUUGAUCCUCAGGUGAUUUGAAUGCAUGCUGAAGUUCGAGAAUUUCUAAUUUCUCAUUGCUGGGACACAAUACCCAACACCCACAACUUAAGGAGGAGGGGUUUAU